UACGGGGGGGCAAGCGUUGUUCGGAAUUACUGGGCGUAAAGGGCUCGUAGGCGGCCAACUAAGUCAGACGUGAAAUCCCUCGGCUCAACCGGGGAACUGCGUCUGAUACUGGAUGGCUUGAAUUCGGGAGAGGGAUGCGGAAUUCCAGGUGUAGCGGUGAAAUGCGUAGAUAUCUGGAGGAACACCGGUGGCGAAGGCGGCAUCCUGGACCGAGAUUGACGCUGAUGCGCGAAAGCCAGGGGAGCAAACGGG
RNAcentral lists this ribosomal RNA (252 nucleotides) under uncultured bacterium. RNAcentral's name for it is "partial 16S ribosomal RNA". It matches the Rfam family "Bacterial small subunit ribosomal RNA", at positions 524 to 776 of the family's 1533-position model. The record is from RNAcentral.